CAAAGUGUAGCGCAGUCCGGUUAGCGCAUUUAUUUUGGGUACAGAGGGCCAUAAGUUCGAAUCCUGUCACCUUGA
Non-coding RNA from Picea glauca (white spruce), 75 nucleotides. Lineage: Eukaryota; Viridiplantae; Streptophyta; Pinopsida; Pinales; Pinaceae. The record is from Rfam.